UGUGGGAGCGGGCUUGCUCGCGAUGCUGACGGUGCGGUGGUUCUGCAUGCCCGCGUUGCUGCCAUCGCGAGCAAGCCCGCUCCCACA
RNAcentral lists this non-coding RNA (87 nucleotides) under Pseudomonas psychrophila. Lineage: Bacteria; Pseudomonadati; Pseudomonadota; Gammaproteobacteria; Pseudomonadales; Pseudomonadaceae. The record is from RNAcentral.